RNAcentral lists this ribosomal RNA (169 nucleotides) under uncultured bacterium. Its description in RNAcentral is "partial 16S ribosomal RNA". It matches the Rfam family "Bacterial small subunit ribosomal RNA", at positions 1322 to 1500 of the family's 1533-position model. The record is from RNAcentral.
GAAGUCGGAGUUGCUAGUAAUCGCGGAUCAGAAUGCCGCGGUGAAUGCGUUCCCGGGUCUUGUACACACCGCCCGUCACACCAUGGAAGUUGGGGGCGCCCGAAGUUGGUCGAGGAAUAGAUUACCUAAGGCGAAACCAAUGACUGGGGUGAAGUCGUAACAAGGUACC